Small nuclear RNA from Ochotona princeps (American pika), 107 nucleotides. The record is from Ensembl. Lineage: Eukaryota; Metazoa; Chordata; Mammalia; Lagomorpha; Ochotonidae.
GUGCUUGCUUUGACAGCACAUAUACUAAAAUUGGAACAAUACAGAGAAAAUUAGCAUGGCACCUGCGCAAGGAUGACAUGCAAAUUCGUGAAGCAAUCCACAUUAAA